AGUGAACGCUGGCGGUAUGCCUAACACAUGCAAGUCGAACGGCAGCACAGUAAGAGCUUGUUCUUACGGGUGGCGAGUGGCGGACGGGUGAGGAAUACAUCGGAAUCUACUUUUUCGUGGGGGAUAACGUAGGGAAACUUACGCUAAUACCGCAUACGACCUACGGGUGAAAGCAAGGGAUCUUCGGACCUUGCGCGAUUGAAUGAGCCGAUGUCGGAUUAGCUAGUUGGCGGGGUAAAGGCCCACCAAGGCGACGAUCCGUAGCUGGUCUGAGAGGAUGAUCAGCCACACUGGAACUGAGACACGGUCCAGACUCCUACGGGAGGCAGCAGUGGGGAAUAUUGGACAAUGGGCGAAAGCCUGAUCCAGCCAUACCGCGUGGGUGAAGAAGGCCUUCGGGUUGUAAAGUGCUUUUGUUCGGAAAGAAAAGCAGCAGGUUAAUACCCGGCUGAUCUGACGGUACCCAAAGAAUAAGCACCGGCUAACUUCGUG
RNAcentral lists this ribosomal RNA (492 nucleotides) under uncultured bacterium. RNAcentral's name for it is "partial 16S ribosomal RNA". It matches the Rfam family "Bacterial small subunit ribosomal RNA", at positions 29 to 507 of the family's 1533-position model. The record is from RNAcentral.